Long non-coding RNA from Thalassophryne amazonica, 875 nucleotides. RefSeq lists it as uncharacterized. The transcript has 2 exons. The record is from RefSeq and is a predicted model, not a curated record. NCBI's taxonomy places the organism in Eukaryota, Metazoa, Chordata, Actinopteri, Batrachoidiformes, Batrachoididae.
AUAGAUAAUUAGGGCAUGGAAGACUCCACUAAAUUUUGGAGGUGAUCCGGAUCGGUGGAUGUCAUAAAUCUCUGAUUGCUCUCGUUUUCUCUGCCACACUUCUCAAAUCUCGAGUAAGCAAAGCAGUGUAAGGUCUUUUUCUGCUCCUCAAUGGACCAAUUUACAACGUUGUAGUUUGGCUUGUUUCUUUUGGCCCUUUAAGUCUGUUGUUGCUUGGGUCCAGGAUCAGUAGUUUGGUGAUCUGGUGGGUUAUCCAGCUGAGUCCUGGCGGAGGAGAGACAUAUCCCUGCUGCACUGGUGGAAGUUGUAUGAAUUAUCAUGUGUCUGUUCAGACUGCUCUUAUGUCUAAAUCUCUGACCACAUUCAGAACAGCCAAAUUGUUUUUGCCUUGUAUGAAUUAUCAUGUGUGUAUUCAGGCUGCUCUUGCGUCCAAAUCUCUUACCACACUCAGAACAGCCAAACUGUUUUUGUCCUGUGUGAAUUAUCAUGUGUGUGUUUAGGUUGUUCUUUCGUCCAAAUCUUUGACCACACACAGAACAGCCAAAUUGUUUUUGCCCUGUAUGAAUUAGCAUGUGUGUGUUCAUGUCACUCUUUUGUCCAAAUCUUUUACCACAUUCAGAACAGCCAAAUUGUUUUUGUCCUGUAUGGAUUAUCAUAUGCAUGUUCAGCCUGCUCUUUAGUCCAAAUGUUUUACCACACUCAGAACAGCCAAAUUGUUUUUGUCCUGUAUGAAUUAACAUGUGUGUGUUCAGCCUGCUCUUUACUCCAAAUCUUUGACCACACUCAGAACAGCCGAAUUGUUUUUGUCCUGUAUGAAUUAUCAUGUGUAUGUUGAGGCUAUUCUUUUGCCCAAAUCUUUUACCACACUCUGAACA